This 240-nucleotide unclassified non-coding RNA is filed under the name soil metagenome. RNAcentral describes it as "partial contains 5.8S ribosomal RNA, internal transcribed spacer 2, and large subunit ribosomal RNA". The record is from RNAcentral.
AACGCACGAGACCUGCGGACCUGCGGAGGGAUCAUUAACAAAUUUGUUGAGCGUAUACAAUUGUGAACAGGCCAGAGUUUGUAUCUGAAGAAGCAGAUAAGCAAUUAUUUGUGUAGCUAAAGAAGCAGAUGAGCAAUUAUUUGUGUAGCUAAAUAUUUGUGUAGCAGAUGAGCAAUUAUUUGUGUAGCUAAAUAUUUGUGUAGCUGAAUAUUUGUCUAGCUGAAUAUUUGUGUAGCUGAA